UACGAGAGGCCCAAACGUUAUUCGGAAUUACUGGGCUUAAAGAGUUCGUAGGCGGCGCGGCAAGUGGGGUGUGAAAGCCCUCGGCUCAACCGAGGAAUUGCGCUCCAAACUACCGUGCUUGAGGAAGCUAGAGGUGAGCAGAACUGAUGGUGGAGCGGUGAAAUGCGUUGAUAUCAUCAGGAAUACCGGAGGCGAAGGCGGCUCACUGGGGCUUUUCUGACGCUGAGGAACGAAAGCCAGGGUAGCGAACGGG
RNAcentral lists this ribosomal RNA (253 nucleotides) under uncultured bacterium. Its description in RNAcentral is "partial 16S ribosomal RNA". It matches the Rfam family "Bacterial small subunit ribosomal RNA", at positions 524 to 776 of the family's 1533-position model. The record is from RNAcentral.